AAGUCGUAACAAGGUUUCCGUAGGUGAACCUGCGGAAGGAUCAUUAACACGUAUCCAACGUUAAACAACCCUGUGAACUUUCAGCGCUCUUGUAACCCAGGCGGAACAGCAAUCCCGGUAAAUCAAUGGCGGAACAGUUUUGAUUCGGGACCUCUCCAAAAGGUAUCAAGUUACAAUCGAGCUAAUGAUCGACCUCUGGCAACCGUGAUGCGUUUAUCCGUACUCAGUGGAUCGUUCUGCACUGCUUAGGGAAACCAUGCCACUGCCCCUACACCGGCCGGCAGACAUGUCACAGGGCUAUAUGCCCCUUCAUUCACACCUUGCCUAAUCAUGCCCCGCGGAAACGCCGGGCACAAAAACUGAACAACUGUUAACAAUGGAUAUCUUGGUUCUC
RNAcentral lists this unclassified non-coding RNA (394 nucleotides) under fungal sp. RNAcentral describes it as "partial internal transcribed spacer region". The stretch from base 1 to 46 matches the Rfam family "Eukaryotic small subunit ribosomal RNA", at positions 1786 to 1831 of the family's 1831-position model. The record is from RNAcentral. Lineage: Eukaryota; Fungi.